Triticum dicoccoides is the source of this 3083-nucleotide RNA transcript. RefSeq lists it as uncharacterized. NCBI's taxonomy places the organism in Eukaryota, Viridiplantae, Streptophyta, Magnoliopsida, Poales, Poaceae. The record is from RefSeq and is a predicted model, not a curated record. The transcript has 5 exons.
UAGCAGCCGCACAAACGCCACCCCCCCGCAGGCCAUGGGGUUGCCGCGCCUCCUCGCCUCCCUCUACUCCAGGCCCCUCUCUCGCGCUGCUGGGAGUAGUGGUCUCUAGCAGCUGCCCUCCCCUCAGUCAUUGCAUCAAUCUCCUGCUCCAUCUCUCUCCAACAUCCCCGCUCUCCUCUCGCAUCACACAGGCGGUGGCUAUACAUAUCUGACCGGGUGUGGCGUGCGUGGUAUCUGUGACGUGCUUCGCCUACCGGUUGUCCCUGAUGUGUGCGGCUGGAUGUGCAUCCCUGUUUAUGUGUGUGGCGCUUUACAUGCAGAGGAAGUGAAUGGUUGCAAGCAGAGGAAGCUGUUGGCCGUUGGCAAAGGAGGAUUAGGAUAGUUCUCUUGAUCUUGGUCAGAAAAAUUGGUAGUUCCCUUGAUUUGUUUUGUUCUGAAUUAGUACAAAAGUGCACUGAUAUUUGUUUUGUGCUGCAGGAGCUUCAAGACACCAGGUACCAAUUGCAACUUUCAUUUAUCUGUUGUGUGAACCAAUUUGUGAUGGCUUCUAAACACACUUGGCUGGAACAGAGCAAUUUUCUAUAGUCUUCAGCGACGAUGUGGUGCUGCACUGCUGCUCUCUUACUGCUAGCUUGCUACUUCUAGCUUAAUUUUGCUAUUGCUGCUAGCUGAAUUUUGCAUAGGCAUGGCAAGCUGUUUGAUUUCGUGGCUGGCCAGCUUAUCCUCAAUGUGUUCUGACUCGGAGGUCGGAGUUGAAGCUGACAACGGACUCAAGCACUCCACCAUAUUCUUAGUAUUGCAUACCGUCACCGCUGAGGGGUUAGCCAAGCUGCUUUUAGAAGUCAUAUAACAAUUAAGUGCUAGAUAUUGUCACAGAUAGAUUUUGAUGGAUAUGAAUUUAAUAAGCUACAAAGCAGUGUAGGUCGAGAUGAACAGAGAAUGGUAUGCAUAAUGUGUAACAAUAUUUGAUACAUUUACAUUGAUAGGUCUGGGAUCGUUGGAGGGUUGUAUGCUUUUGAUUGAUUAAGCUUAACACUUCUGCUCACUCAUUAUUUACUCUGUAUUCAUCAAAAAAUAUUUAUUUUUUACUAUAUCAUAUCAUAUUCGACAGACAGAGGCAGAGACGACCAUGGUUCUAGCUAAUAGCACUUGCUAACUUAAGAAGUCUACAUACCUUUUAUCUAACUAAAAGAGAGUUUCUUACCAACUAUUGAGCCUACAAGCUUUAGAUGUAUGUCUCUAAAGCCACUACUCAACUUCAUGUUAGUACUUUUCUGUAGAGCAUACCUCCAUAAUUCUCCAUCUAAGAUAGUACUAAAGUUUAUUGAUGAUGCUUAGUUUCAGGAUAUGCCUUACAAGCCAUCCAUGUGAGAAAUCCAAGAGGUUCAAGGCGUAUUGAAAAGGAGCUGGAGUAGGUAGGUGGUGGAUUGAGGAAGGGUCUGGAGCAGAGGCGGAAUCGAGGCUGCCCCUACAUGCGCUAAGGAGCUGCAAGGCGCCUGUGAUCCGGACACUGCUAUGUUUUCUCCUUCUCUCCAGUGCUCCUCCCCCUCCAGUGUAUUCAACCCACGGUGUAUCUUAUCCGCUCCCCUCCUAGCACGGCGGAGGAGGAGAGGGUGAGGGGCGGCGCCGCACUCUCCAACUUCUGUCUACACACCACCUACGCGCCGUCGUCCGUCCGGGUGGUCGGCGGCGGCUACCGCGCCCCGGAGGUGGCGUCUACUCCCUGGGCGUGCUCCUGCUGGAGCUCCUCAUGGCAAGUCCCCGACGCACGCGUCAGGGCGCCGGCGACGUACGUCCUCCUUCUCUUCUUUCACGAGACGGCUCCGGGCUUCGACCAAAUCCCGCCCAACUCGCCCAGAUCGAGGCCUUCAGGCUUUUGUGGAAUCCUCGUUCAACUCUCCGCCUCUACCAGAUCCACGCUGAGGGGCUUCGGCGCCAUCCCCCGGUGUGAUUUCCUCAUGGGUCCCGGCUUGAUCGAGGCCAAAGGCUUCGGCCGUCCGUCCACCAUGGCUGGGACCUGCGCGGAAACUGUAGAUGAAUUUAUACGAGUGGAAUCGACACUGCGGCAGGGUACGGUGGAGUCACAUUGUGCAGCCUCGGUGUCCCAAUCAGGGAUUCCUUCUAAGGAUGCAUAUAUUUUGAAGGGUGAGGGAUAAUGAUUUGGUUAAAGGCCUUCGGCCUCUUGCUUCACUGAACAUUUGUGUCCAUCGACCAAGUUGCAUAUACGGGAGAAGAUAAGCAAGUCCAAAGUGAUGUUCUAGCUGGGCCUCAACACCUUGUCCCUCUGACCACAACGCCCAACCAUGAUCUGGUCAGCAACCAAUUGUAACACUAUGCCUAGGUUCUGAUUAUAUCUACUUGAUGCAGAUCACAUGAGCAGAGGGGUUCAGCAACUCUUACUACUCCUGGCUGUGAAAGCUUCUGCUUACCUGCUUAUCCAUGGUCUUUUUGAGCCAUCCAAAUUGCAAAACGCAAGUCACCAACACCAAGAAUCAGGUUCCUGCCAGAGGAACCCAAAGCAGAGCAAGAGAAGGAAAACAACGGUGAAGAGGUUCUGUUGGAGAAAGGGCUGCAUCACAUACUUGCCACCAAGGCCAUGUUGUCGAGGAGCCUGUGAUUGCCGCUCCAGCUGCCUCUCGCGCCAUGGCCCAUCGCGUGGGGUGCAUUGUGAGAGUCUACAUCAGGCUCGCGUUGCCUCUCCAGCAGUGAUGCAGCACUCUAGGUAAUAGUUAGUAUUGGUGUCAACGAGAGCAACUAGAGUCGCUAGCUGUUAUGCUAAAAGCAACAGGAUGCAUCUUCUCCAUGCAAGAAGACAAUAAGGAUAAAGCAGCAAAGAGCAGGCCGUUGGUGGUGAUGGAUAAUUUCUCUAAUCAAUUAAAUCGUAGAUGCCCUCCAGCAUUGCACACUAAGAGAUUGCAUUGCUUAGAUAUAAUGGAAGGUGACUUCAGUUUUCAAGAAAGUUGAGGUGUCGUGAUUGUUAUUUUUUUAUGCAACAAUUACCUAAGCUUGCCUGGCAAGUAUACAUUCUGAAUUGUAUGUUCAGAUGAUAUUCACAUAUUUAGACUGAAUCGUUAAAUCUAGCA